RNAcentral lists this ribosomal RNA (292 nucleotides) under uncultured bacterium. Its description in RNAcentral is "partial 16S ribosomal RNA". It matches the Rfam family "Bacterial small subunit ribosomal RNA", at positions 505 to 796 of the family's 1533-position model. The record is from RNAcentral.
GUGCCAGCAGCCGCGGUAAUACGUAGGGUGCGAGCGUUAAUCGGAAUUACUGGGCGUAAAGCGUGCGCAGGCGGUUGUGUAAGACAGGUGUGAAAUCCCCGGGCUUAACCUGGGAACUGCGCUUGUGACUGCACGGCUAGAGUACGGCAGAGGGGGGUGGAAUUCCACGUGUAGCAGUGAAAUGCGUAGAUAUGUGGAGGAACACCGAUGGCGAAGGCAGCCCCCUGGGCCGAUACUGACGCUCAUGCACGAAAGCGUGGGGAGCAAACAGGAUUAGAUACCCCUGUAGUCC